AGCUUUGUGCAGUGGCAGUAUCACAGCCAAUGAGCUUUCUCUGAGGCAAAAUUAUUGCUAAUUGAAAAUCGUGCCCAAUACCCCACCAUGAUGACUUGAAACAGCUGGCACUGGCAAUUUUUGGAAGUCUCUAUGGAGA
This is a small nuclear RNA of Nycticebus coucang (slow loris), 139 nucleotides long. RefSeq annotates it as U4 spliceosomal RNA. The record is from RefSeq and is a predicted model, not a curated record. The transcript has a single exon. Lineage: Eukaryota; Metazoa; Chordata; Mammalia; Primates; Lorisidae.